CCUACGGGAGGCUGCAGUGGGGGAUAUUGCACAAUGGGGGGAACCCUGAUGCAGCGACGCCGCGUGGGUGAAGAAGCGCCUCGGCGCUUAAAGCCCUGUCAGCAGGGGAGAAAAUGACGGUACCUGAAGAAGAAGCCCCGGCUAACUACGUGCCAGCAGCCGCGGUAAUACGUAGGGGGCAGGCGUUAUCCGGAUUUACUGGGUGUAAAGGGAGCGCAGACGGCAGUGCAAGUCUGGAGUGAAAGCCCGGGGCCCAACCCCGGAACUGCUCUGGAAACUGUGCGGCUAGAGUACUGGAGGGGCAGGCGGAAUUCCUAGUGUAGCGGUGAAAUGCGUAGAUAUUAGGAGGAACACCAGUGGCGAAGGCGGCCUGCUGGACAGUAACUGACGUUGAGGCUCGAAAGCGUGGGGAGCAAACAGGAUUAGAUACCCGAGUAGUC
This 440-nucleotide ribosomal RNA is filed under the name uncultured bacterium. RNAcentral describes it as "partial 16S ribosomal RNA". It matches the Rfam family "Bacterial small subunit ribosomal RNA", at positions 338 to 795 of the family's 1533-position model. The record is from RNAcentral.